UCUGAGCAACUCGACGUAAAGAAAUGGCCCUUCGAAGAGGAGGAACCUCGUCGUUAUUUGCUGGUAGAAUAGAGCGAUGAUAGCCUGGUAUUUUCUCGGUUACAAGUCAUGACGGCUGGAAUACAUCCAAACUAAACUUUAUUUAAGACAAAAAAAAAAUUCGGUACGCUCUUUUAAUUCAAUUAGCUAACGCAGCUCUUCUUAGGAGCGACGAUCCGUCCGGAGAGGAUGACCUAACAUGGACAUCUUGGUCGACGUGCCGUUAGAACUCAUAACCAAGUGUUUUUAAAAAGCAAACAGACUGUCGAGCCUCGAGGCUGGCGUGCUUUUGUUUGAGUUUUUAAAUUAAAAAAAAAGAAUAAUCUACGCCAGCAGAAAUGUCUUUGGAGCUAACGUUAAGCUAGCUCACUUGCUAACGAGCGAGCUAGCUGUUAGCUGACAUUUCCUUUUAACUUUUAGCUACGGCAUGUAUUUCUGACAACGUGUGGUCACUGUAACAGGCGAAUGCUUUCGUUGUAGGAGUUCAUCGGCUUGGCUCAACGAACACUUGCUGACAUAAACGGAGACCCACCUGCUGAAACCAAUGGCCAUCAGAGUGUAGUCUUUAGUAACAGAAGGAACGCUCAUUGGAUCACAUCGGAACAAUAGAGUCCAAAUUAACUCAAAAAGAAGAUAUUCAAUUUGAUCUAUGCUGUGACAAAUACUAUCUGGUCUGCGCAAUGCCGCUGUAUGGAUAGCUUCGUGCUGUGGCUCCUCAAUGAAGGACAGGACAGCUGCAGGACGACUAUACCAGUAUAAAGGGCAGAAAGUGUGGACUGUCUCUGGCGAUGAAACAACAUCCAGUCAAAAUCCUCCAUAAUUCUGCUGGGCAGAAGAGAUGUCCACCUUUCUACCACAUUCUUAAUUAUUUCUGCAGUUAAAUAACUUUCAGUAUGUGGAUUUGUGUUGCUCUGUAAUUGUUAUAAUGAUGACUUGUCUGAAAACUCCUUGUCAAGGAAGUUGGACAAUGUCUGAUUGCAGACAAAUGCAGCAGUGGCUCACAAGGGCCUUACAUCUCAUGUUCACCAAUCAUUUAUAUGGUAUAAAUGAAAUUUGAUCAGCACUUGUUUAUUUAACGAAUUCCAUAAAUGCCUAAUGAGAUCAUGUAUUUGUCUUAUUAAGUGUCCAUUCACUGUUUCUCCAAGAGAGGCCCCCUUUUUCACCGCGAUAUUCUCUUUUUAUGGGUAUCUGGCGCCAUCAUGUGGCAGAAGAAACAACUACAUUACCUGGAGAUUAAAGCAAGACGUUUCAUAAAUUGAUUUUGUUAGAACUUCACAACUUAGUGUGAAAAUUAAGUAUAUAACAUUGAAACACAUUUUCAAAUAAACCAGCUCUUUGACAACAAUCAAA
Pungitius pungitius (ninespine stickleback) is the source of this 1389-nucleotide long non-coding RNA. RefSeq lists it as uncharacterized. NCBI's taxonomy places the organism in Eukaryota, Metazoa, Chordata, Actinopteri, Perciformes, Gasterosteidae. The record is from RefSeq and is a predicted model, not a curated record. The transcript is spliced from 4 exons.